CCAAACACGGAAUAAAUGACCGAAAUGGAAUUCACUUCAAUGCUCUGCACUAGCGAGAAAAAAAGGGGGAAAAAAGAAUUAUCGGUAAUUUACGAAUAAUAUUUUCAAUUUUCCUAGUAAAACAUGCAAGACAAUUCUGUACAUGUUUCUAGUAUUCUGGUCUCGUCAGUGAAUUCGAGCGUUUGUUCACUAUUGUCUCCUGUAGUUGACAGGAAAACGGAAAGUAUAUUAAAUAUCGUUUGCCUUCACAUAUCUCUUUCUAAUUUUGCUUUUUAACACUACCUUACAAAAAAAAAAAAAAAAGAAUGUAUAUACGUGUCUAUGAUAACAGAAAUUUAAUAGAUAACUCGCGCACCUUAUCGAUGACACAGCACUUCAACUGAAGUUGAACUUUCAAUUGAGAGCUUUUCUUUUCAUUCCAUGCAGGUGUUCCAUACUUUGACAAACCUAUCACUUUUCAAACUUGUAAAGUGCUACAAUUUUAUACGAAACAGCGGCCAGAAACCGAUCUCUGUGAGUGUAUAUUUCGCCUAAGCCUGAUUCUCUAUUUCGAUGUGGAACUGCGUAACAGAUUUACUGGAAGCUCGCAGAAGAAGAACAACCGAGGUCGAUAGAUCAUACUUGACGAUACAAACCACAGAUAUUGAUUGAUCGAUCAUAAAGAACAACUGAGUUGGUGCGCGGAAGAAAACAAAUUCGGAUUUAAAAAAAAAAGAAACGAA
Long non-coding RNA from Octopus bimaculoides (California two-spot octopus), 722 nucleotides. Lineage: Eukaryota; Metazoa; Mollusca; Cephalopoda; Octopoda; Octopodidae. The record is from RefSeq and is a predicted model, not a curated record.